GUUGAAGUUGAAAAUUCUGGAGUUACUUGCUAUAACCAUGAUGUGCAGACAUUGUAGAAAGAAUUGUAAAAACAUUGGCAUUGGAUGUUAGCAAGCAUUAUUGAACGUAACCCAGAGUUUUGCAGAAUAGUCCAAUAUGGACGUUCUUGUCUGGCGAUAGGGUUGGUUAUUGUGCAGAUUGCAAAGUGCAGUGCUUUAAUCGAAAAUGUUUCGGCAGCUUUGCUUUCAUUUUUCAUUUGGUGCUGCUGCUAUACCGACACUGACCGCACUCCGUCAGACAUUUCUGCAGAGUAAAGAGAGAGAGAGAGAGUCAAAGACAAAAUAAAAGAGAAAGACCUUUUCUAGAAAGUUUGGUCAGUCACAUCCUGACAGAAUGAGAGUGUGAAACGGCUCUCGGUAAAGUUCACCUCCGUCUGCUGCAGGAUAAAACGGAGAAACAACAAAUUAGGAAAAAACUACAAAAGAGCAAAGGACGAAAAAGAGAAUAAAGAAGACCUCAUAGCUGAGGAAGGAAACAUACUGAAGUAACUCACCUGAGAUACUCACUGGAUGUUUGAUUUUGUGACAUUUAAGUGCUUCCAGACUCAGCUCAAGCUUUACAUUUCAAUAGUACUGUACUUUCUUAAUUGUUGUUAGAGAACAAUUCAGAGGUGGAGGUAUUUUUUGUUCUUAUUCACAGGACCAUUAUUUCCUGAAGACCAAUGAAACAACCACAGAAGUCAGAAGUGUCCCUGAUCCCAGUGUAAUCUGCUGCAGUGAAAACAUCCUGGGUGUGAGUAAGAAGCAAUCACACAGCAGAAGGAGAGAUCACAAAUCCACCAAAUAAGCAAAUAUGGAAGGAACGUGACAUUGAGGACAUGAAUGGCUGCAUUUGAAACCACCGAGCUGAAGCCAUGACCAUGACCUCUGACCUCUGUGUGGGGGAGGGAAGAGAACAGAAGGAUCUCUCGGCUGAGAUCAAUAAAGAAACAUAUCAUUACAACAAAGCUUUAGUCAGAUUCAUGCUCUGAUACACAAAAGAAAAUGUGUCGUAGCUGAAACAUCUGAACAAUAAAACACAACAAAACCGAUUAAUCAUAACUUAAGUCAUCAGUUUGUAUUUUUCUUUAUAAAGUAAUAUCACUUGAUUCUCUGACAGUCAUUGAAUUAUUGAAUUGAGCUUAAUUGUACAUUAUCUGACAAUUUAUGACAUUUCCA
Molecule: long non-coding RNA, 1197 nt
Organism: Sander lucioperca (pikeperch)
Lineage: Eukaryota; Metazoa; Chordata; Actinopteri; Perciformes; Percidae
Exons: 3
Source: RefSeq, a predicted model, not a curated record